Molecule: ribosomal RNA, 1533 nt
Filed under: Streptococcus pneumoniae GA47522
Lineage: Bacteria; Bacillati; Bacillota; Bacilli; Lactobacillales; Streptococcaceae
Also listed under: 1 other name
Description: bacterial SSU rRNA
Rfam family: Bacterial small subunit ribosomal RNA
Source: RNAcentral
GAGUUUGAUCCUGGCUCAGGACGAACGCUGGCGGCGUGCCUAAUACAUGCAAGUAGAACGCUGAAGGAGGAGCUUGCUUCUCUGGAUGAGUUGCGAACGGGUGAGUAACGCGUAGGUAACCUGCCUGGUAGCGGGGGAUAACUAUUGGAAACGAUAGCUAAUACCGCAUAAGAGUGGAUGUUGCAUGACAUUUGCUUAAAAGGUGCACUUGCAUCACUACCAGAUGGACCUGCGUUGUAUUAGCUAGUUGGUGGGGUAAGGGCUCACCAAGGCGACGAUACAUAGCCGACCUGAGAGGGUGAUCGGCCACACUGGGACUGAGACACGGCCCAGACUCCUACGGGAGGCAGCAGUAGGGAAUCUUCGGCAAUGGACGGAAGUCUGACCGAGCAACGCCGCGUGAGUGAAGAAGGUUUUCGGAUCGUAAAGCUCUGUUGUAAGAGAAGAACGAGUGUGAGAGUGGAAAGUUCACACUGUGACGGUAUCUUACCAGAAAGGGACGGCUAACUACGUGCCAGCAGCCGCGGUAAUACGUAGGUCCCGAGCGUUGUCCGGAUUUAUUGGGCGUAAAGCGAGCGCAGGCGGUUAGAUAAGUCUGAAGUUAAAGGCUGUGGCUUAACCAUAGUAGGCUUUGGAAACUGUUUAACUUGAGUGCAAGAGGGGAGAGUGGAAUUCCAUGUGUAGCGGUGAAAUGCGUAGAUAUAUGGAGGAACACCGGUGGCGAAAGCGGCUCUCUGGCUUGUAACUGACGCUGAGGCUCGAAAGCGUGGGGAGCAAACAGGAUUAGAUACCCUGGUAGUCCACGCUGUAAACGAUGAGUGCUAGGUGUUAGACCCUUUCCGGGGUUUAGUGCCGUAGCUAACGCAUUAAGCACUCCGCCUGGGGAGUACGACCGCAAGGUUGAAACUCAAAGGAAUUGACGGGGGCCCGCACAAGCGGUGGAGCAUGUGGUUUAAUUCGAAGCAACGCGAAGAACCUUACCAGGUCUUGACAUCCCUCUGACCGCUCUAGAGAUAGAGUUUUCCUUCGGGACAGAGGUGACAGGUGGUGCAUGGUUGUCGUCAGCUCGUGUCGUGAGAUGUUGGGUUAAGUCCCCGCAACGAGCGCAACCCCUAUUGUUAGUUGCCAUCAUUUAGUUGGGCACUCUAGCGAGACUGCCGGUAAUAAACCGGAGGAAGGUGGGGAUGACGUCAAAUCAUCAUGCCCCUUAUGACCUGGGCUACACACGUGCUACAAUGGCUGGUACAACGAGUCGCAAGCCGGUGACGGCAAGCUAAUCUCUUAAAGCCAGUCUCAGUUCGGAUUGUAGGCUGCAACUCGCCUACAUGAAGUCGGAAUCGCUAGUAAUCGCGGAUCAGCACGCCGCGGUGAAUACGUUCCCGGGCCUUGUACACACCGCCCGUCACACCACGAGAGUUUGUAACACCCGAAGUCGGUGAGGUAACCGUAAGGAGCCAGCCGCCUAAGGUGGGAUAGAUGAUUGGGGUGAAGUCGUAACAAGGUAGCCGUAUCGGAAGGUGCGGCUGGAUCACC